Molecule: signal recognition particle RNA, 96 nt
Filed under: Gammaproteobacteria bacterium
Lineage: Bacteria; Pseudomonadati; Pseudomonadota; Gammaproteobacteria
Description: signal recognition particle sRNA small type
Rfam family: Bacterial small signal recognition particle RNA
About the family: The signal recognition particle (SRP) is a universally conserved ribonucleoprotein involved in the co-translational targeting of proteins to membranes. Archaeal SRP consists of a 7S RNA and homologues of the eukaryotic SRP19 and SRP54 proteins. In most bacteria, the SRP consists of a 4.5S RNA and the Ffh protein (a homologue of the eukaryotic SRP54 protein).
Source: RNAcentral
UGAGGGUAAGCAAGCAAUGAAAGGUUAUGAACCCCGCCAGGUCCGGAAGGAAGCAACGGUAGUAAUUAUUUCAUGUGUUUGAUUUUAUUCUCAGUG